This 484-nucleotide ribosomal RNA is filed under the name uncultured bacterium. RNAcentral describes it as "partial 16S ribosomal RNA". It matches the Rfam family "Bacterial small subunit ribosomal RNA", at positions 30 to 507 of the family's 1533-position model. The record is from RNAcentral.
AUUGAACGCUGGCGGCAGGCCUAACACAUGCAAGUCGAGCGGAUGAAGGGAGCUUGCUCCUGGAUUCAGCGGCGGACGGGUGAGUAAUGCCUAGGAAUCUGCCUGGUAGUGGGGGAUAACGUCCGGAAACGGGCGCUAAUACCGCAUACGUCCUGAGGGAGAAAGUGGGGGAUCUUCGGACCUCACGCUAUCAGAUGAGCCUAGGUCGGAUUAGCUAGUUGGUGGGGUAAAGGCCUACCAAGGCGACGAUCCGUAACUGGUCUGAGAGGAUGAUCAGUCACAACUGGAACGAGGACACGGUCCGAACUCCUACGGGAGGCAGAGGUGGGAAUUAUUGGACAAUGGGCGAAAGCCUGAUCCAGCCAGGCGCGUGUGUGAAGAAGGUCUUCGGAUUGUAAAGCACUUUAAGUUGGGAGGAAGGGCAGUAAGUUAAUACCUUGCUGUUUUGACGUUACCAACAGAAUAAGCACCGGCUAACUUCGUG